This is a long non-coding RNA of Ornithorhynchus anatinus (platypus), 425 nucleotides long. RefSeq lists it as uncharacterized. The record is from RefSeq and is a predicted model, not a curated record. The transcript is spliced from 3 exons. Lineage: Eukaryota; Metazoa; Chordata; Mammalia; Monotremata; Ornithorhynchidae.
UUACCGGGAUCACCAACCGCAUCAAUACUAGCGUCACCUCCAUUUCUUCCCCGAGUCAUUUUCACGUUAUCAGGAUCGCCAACAUCAUCUUUACGGUCACUGUCUUCAUUACCACGGUGACUGUCAUCGUCACCAAGAUCACCGACAUUUUCACCGGUACUUACUGAGCUCUCGUUCUGUGCAGGAGGCCGACAGUCUUUCGAGUCGGGGACGGGGGAGAGAGGAAGGAAAAGAUCUAAGAAUGAAGAGCCCGCAGCAAAACCAGUAAAACUGGGCACAGAUACCGUCUGAGAGCAAGGAUCAAAGACACCGGCCACAAGACGGAAUAUAAUUUGGGAAGACGCACAUGGUGAGAACCAGCAUGGUCUAUCGGCCUGAGAAUCGAGAGGCCUAAAUUCUAACCCCAGCCCUGCCGCUUGCCCACC